This 102-nucleotide ribosomal RNA is filed under the name Pteropus alecto (black flying fox). The record is from RNAcentral. Lineage: Eukaryota; Metazoa; Chordata; Mammalia; Chiroptera; Pteropodidae.
GACUAUGGCCAUGCUACCCUGAACAAACUGGAUCCCGCCUGAUCUCAGAAGCUAAGCAGGGUCAGGCCUGGUUAGUACUAGGAAGACCAGAUGCUGUAGGUG